This 465-nucleotide ribosomal RNA is filed under the name Vreelandella stevensii. RNAcentral describes it as "partial 16S ribosomal RNA". It matches the Rfam family "Bacterial small subunit ribosomal RNA", at positions 338 to 795 of the family's 1533-position model. The record is from RNAcentral. Lineage: Bacteria; Pseudomonadati; Pseudomonadota; Gammaproteobacteria; Oceanospirillales; Halomonadaceae.
CCUACGGGUGGCAGCAGUGGGGAAUAUUGGACAAUGGGCGAAAGCCUGAUCCAGCCAUGCCGCGUGUGUGAAGAAGGCCUUCGGGUUGUAAAGCACUUUCAGUGGGGAAGAAAGCCUUGGGGCUAAUACCCUCGAGGAAGGACAUCACCCACAGAAGAAGCACCGGCUAACUCCGUGCCAGCAGCCACGGUAAUACGGAGGGUGCGAGCGUUAAUCGGAAUUACUGGGCGUAAAGCGCGCGUAGGCGGUCUGAUAAGCCGGUUGUGAAAGCCCCGGGCUCAACCUGGGAACGGCAUCCGGAACUGUCAGGCUAGAGUGCAGGAGAGGAAGGUAGAAUUCCCGGUGUAGCGGUGAAAUGCGUAGAGAUCGGGAGGAAUACCAGUGGCGAAGGCGGCCUUCUGGACUGACACUGACGCUGAGGUGCGAAAGCGUGGGUAGCAAACAGGAUUAGAUACCCUGGUAGUC